UCAUCUUCAAAUCCCUUUCUAAUCUCAAUCAUAUGAGGAUACAAUGAACAUGUUUAAAACUCUUGAGGAAUAUGAAACCCUUAUGUCUUGAGUGAACCAUGAUAUUGAGGACAUCUCCUCACCAUUGACUUGAAUACCUGUCCUUCUUCUUUCUUGCUUGAAAUAAACCAAUAGAACUAGAUACCUUGAUCCCAUAACCAUUGAACCAAUGAUAUGCAUGAGUAUGUAUGAUAAUGAGACAUAAGCCAAUUAGGAUUGAAGAGAAUAGGGUAAAUUUUUU
This 280-nucleotide long non-coding RNA is filed under the name Lathyrus oleraceus (garden pea). Its description in RNAcentral is "Pisum sativum (pea) long non-coding RNA (PSAT_LNC000023)". The record is from RNAcentral. Lineage: Eukaryota; Viridiplantae; Streptophyta; Magnoliopsida; Fabales; Fabaceae.